RNAcentral lists this ribosomal RNA (392 nucleotides) under uncultured bacterium. RNAcentral describes it as "bacterial SSU rRNA". It matches the Rfam family "Bacterial small subunit ribosomal RNA", at positions 29 to 421 of the family's 1533-position model. The record is from RNAcentral.
AUUAAACGCUGGCGGCAUGCCUUACACAUGCAAGUCGAACGGCAGCACGGGGGCAACCCUGGUGGCGAGUGGCGGACGGGUGAGUAAAGCAUCGGAACGUAUCCUGGAGUGGGGGAUAACGUAGCGAAAGUUACGCUAAUACCGCAUAUUCUGUGAGCAGGAAAGCAGGGGAUCGCAAGACCUUGCGCUCUGGGAGCGGCCGAUGUCGGAUUAGCUAGUUGGUGGGGUAAAAGGCCUACCAAGGCGACGAUCCGUAGCGGGUCUGAGAGGAUGAUCCGCCACACUGGGACUGAGACACGGCCCAGACUCCUACGGGAGGCAGCAGUGGGGAAUUUUGGACAAUGGGCGCAAGCCUGAUCCAGCCAUGCCGCGUGAGUGAAGAAGGCCUGUGU